AAUCCAUGGCGAGGACACAUUCGCAGUAGGUCCUUGUAUCUCUCCCAUGCAUUGUAAACAGUUUCUAAGUCCAUCUGUACAAACGAAGAGAUAUCAUUACGUAAUU
Non-coding RNA from Gossypium arboreum, 106 nucleotides. NCBI's taxonomy places the organism in Eukaryota, Viridiplantae, Streptophyta, Magnoliopsida, Malvales, Malvaceae. The record is from Rfam.